CCUCGACGGCUUGUUUACCAUUUACGCUGUGCGGUAUUGCUUGUGUUUUUGUUAAUUCGAAAAGGUCGUACAAGUGAUUGAAGAGUUGGAAAUUCGUUUUUUACUUAGUUCUACGUUUUAAAAACUAUUAUUUGUGUGUAUUAUAUAUGUGGAGAAUAGUGAACAAAGACAAUAUUAUUGUUUAAGGCAAAAUAAUCUUGUGAGACUUUCAAGGUGCAUGUAGUAUAUGUCCAAAAAUCAAAAUGCCUGGUACACGUUGUGCUGUGUAUGGUUGUGGUAAUACCUAUAAAACAAGGCAGCAAGAACAUGAAUAUUUUAUAUUUCAUCGGUUUCCCAAAGCUAAAGAUCUUGUUUCCCAAACUAUGAGAAAAGAAUGGAUAUUACGAUGCAAACGGGAAGAUAAAUUUAACCCUGAUACUAGCUACAUCUGCUCAGUUCAUUUCACAGAAAAGGAUUAUGAAAGAGACUUACAGAAUGAAUUAUUAGGUUUACCACUACGAAAAAUAUUGAAAAAAACCGCUGUUCCUACUUUGGGAUUGUAUUCAAAAAAAUCAACAAGUGAAGCUAGUAGUUCAA
Molecule: long non-coding RNA, 576 nt
Organism: Diorhabda carinulata
Lineage: Eukaryota; Metazoa; Arthropoda; Insecta; Coleoptera; Chrysomelidae
Exons: 3
Source: RefSeq, a predicted model, not a curated record